AUGUGCAUGUUGUUGUGGCAGAUGGAUAAAUCCAGAAAGAAACGAGAAGAAAAGGAAUUUGAGGUGGCCAUGGUUGCAUUUGCUAUGGAUGUGGCGUCUUCAAGUGUGACACUGCCGUACGCACCAAGAAAGUUACAUCUUGUUACAGGCCUCCAAUGGGUAGAAAAGAAGGAGAAAGAUGCAAAAGCUUUCUAUGCUAUGUUCAGAAUGAGGAGGUCGGUGUUUCGCACAUUGCAUGAUCUACUAGUUCAGAAGUAUGGGCUUGAGUCAACUUCCAACAUUUCAUCCAAAGAAGCAUUGGCACAAUUUUUAUGGACUGUGGGUACAUGUUAG
RNAcentral lists this ribosomal RNA (333 nucleotides) under Triticum aestivum (bread wheat). Its description in RNAcentral is "partial small subunit ribosomal RNA". Lineage: Eukaryota; Viridiplantae; Streptophyta; Magnoliopsida; Poales; Poaceae. The record is from RNAcentral.